Long non-coding RNA from Fundulus heteroclitus (mummichog), 5424 nucleotides. RefSeq lists it as uncharacterized. NCBI's taxonomy places the organism in Eukaryota, Metazoa, Chordata, Actinopteri, Cyprinodontiformes, Fundulidae. The record is from RefSeq and is a predicted model, not a curated record. The transcript is spliced from 3 exons.
GUGGGGGGUUGGAAGAAGCUGGAAGAUAUUACAGACUAUUUCCUUGCCUAGAAGCUUGGCGCUCGUUCCCUCCCACUCAGGGAGCUCACAUUAAGAGUUUUACAACAAAGUGGAGAAAACGCUGAAAACUUGAACCUGCUCUCCUCCGGCUGCAUCGGCCUUCCUAGCGGCUCACUUGUUUUCUUUCUCUGCCGCUGCCUGCGCAUGUUUCUCGCUCUCGCUCUCGUCCUCCCCCUCCCUCUGCCUCCUUCUCUGGGCUGUAUGUAAGGAGAUCACUUUGUUUCCGUAGCCUUUUUCCGCGGUGCUGCAGACACACAUGGAGAGGAGGAUUGAAUUUGAGGAGAUACUGACAGGGUGGGGGGCGAGGGGUGGGGGGGUUCACAGCUGCAGGAGUCCCCUCCAUCUUCUCCACACCAGGACUAAUGCUCCCCUCCCUCUCCCGCUCUCUUCUUGGGGUGUUUGACUCUCCCUCCGCCGCGCUCUCUCUCUGCUUUUUGCCUGUCGGAGGGGUGGGGGUGCCAUAUGGAAGCUCAGAAAAAUUUUAGCGGAUCGGAGAUAAGCAAGAGGAAUCUUACAUUUGCAAGCUCAGAUGUCGGGAACUAUUUGGGUGGUGAACUCGGUGGUCUGAGUAGAAAGCCCCUCCCCUGACCAGCACACGUUGAAGGGAGUUCUGGUAACUGUCCCUCGUGUCCCGUGGAUCUCAGAGGUAAGGCAGGCCCCAGCAGCACACGGACGCUCCCUGAGCCGCUGCUCCUCGGCGAGCCGCUGCUCCUCGGCGCGGCGCUGCUCCUCGGCGAGCCGCUGCUCCUCGGCGCGGCGCUGCUCCUCGGCGCGGCGCUGCUCUCCGUGUUGGUGGCAGAUGAAGGCAGGGGCUGGGCUGGGCUUGUGCCACUGUCCCAUUUUGUUUGCCUAUUUGCAGAAGACCUGAGAGUCCGUAAAAGUGUCAGACUGCGCUAACAGACGGUCUGUGUGAGAUAAUUAGCCCGGAGUCAUUUGAAGGCAGCUUAGCUCUGCCCAGGUGUCCAGUGCUCACCAGGAGAGACCAGGCGACCUUUUACUCAGCUCCAUCCCACUGCAGUCACUUAGAACAGUGAUGGAUGUCCCUCCAUACAGCCUGCUCCCCAGCCGCCCGCAUCCCCCUCUCUCAUCUCACCACCCCCACCCCGCUUCAACACCACUCUCACCUUAUUUGUCCCUUCUCCUUCUCCCUUCUCUGCCAUUCGUUGCAUCUUAACCCCCCCCCCCCACCACCUCCUUUUCUCUCUUCCUCCAUAGUGAUGAGAGGGAAGAGCUGGAGGAAAAUUGUGGGGAGGAGGUGGGGUUUAAACCCAGCGCUAGACGUGUUUCCUACCUGUCAGAGCGUACCCAGACGCUGCCGCCCCCCCCACCCCCACCCCCAGCUUCGCAUUAGGAUGCACACGGUGUCGCUCAGGUGACAGGGCCCCUGGCGUCGGUCCCAACUGCAGGAGCAGUGCAGGAAACAAGGACACCAGGUAAGGACAAUGGGAGCCAGAGAAGGAGACAAAGGAAGGAAUAACGAUGGAGUUCUUUUCUAAAAUGCUCUGAACUAGUCUCCCUGCUGCUGUCUGCUGAGAUGAGCUAAAGUUCAGCUGCUGUCCAUCAUUUCUGAAACCAAACGCUUCAGUCUGCAGAUGUAAAAUCAAAGUGAUGUUCAACUUUCUCACCAGUGAAAGUCUUGGUGUUGUAGAGCUCAGUCCUCAGUGUCCUGUUCUUCCUCUUGUAAAUGCUGAAUUUAAUAAACAUUUCUGUAUGAACACGAUGUCUAUGUUUGGUCCUUUUGACGCAUCAUGUUUGACUUCAUGUAAGCAAACAAAGGAGGAAUUCUGCAGUUUUCUCGCCAAACACUUUCAUUGUUUUCACAUGGAAGAUUUUCAUUCCCCCUGAUAUCUAGGAUAUGAGUUUUGUUGCCAAAGGCAACAGUGACAGAGGCGUAUUAGACAAAUAUUCAUACUUUGUGUGUAUGUGUGUUUGAGGAAAAGAGAAGAUGAGAAGAGGAAAGGAGAGAGGAAAGACUGUAGAUGUGUGUUUAUUUGCUUUACUUCUCUCGCUCUCUCUGUGUUGGUGUGCGUGUGCGUUAGGGGAGCAGUGCAGCCAGGCUGCAGAUAUCAUCCAUCUCCCUGUCACCGGCCCAGGGGCUGCUGGGAAAGCAGCAGACAGCUCCCCAGCUCCGGCAACGACGGCUGCAUCCUAAUUUUUCUGCAACGCAGGAGGCUGGAGAAAGCUGUGCUUCUCCUCCCUCACCACCCAGCACGCAAACCCAUUAACCCCACAAUCUGGGAACAAAGCGCAGAGCCGAGCCCGGGCCACUGCAGCCUGCGACUCCCAUCAGCUGCCAUCAUCCAGUGGCCGCGGCGAGACGGCAGCAGAAGAGGAGAGAAGCACGGCGCUGGGCUUAAACAGGGGAGGCUGGACACGUCAUGUGAAAAUGUAUCUUUUCAUAAAUCAGUUCAGAUCAGAAGCUUCUUCCACCGACUCGUCCUUGUGUGAGUGGUGGGGUUUGUUCACGAUGAGGUCCUCGUAAAGCAUCUUUAAGGGGAUUACACGGCUUCUUGUUAGCCAUGACAAAUUCUAUUGUAAAGCUGUUUUCACACAUUUCAAAGCAUUUUACAGUAUUUAAGUUUCCUCCAACAUGCCUCACUUAGAAUAAUACUCUUCUGAUUGGUUUGUGGCUUUGAUAGUUACAGCCUAGAGUAACCAUCAUGCAUUUGAACGUACAAAAGCAGUAAUGUAGUUAGAUUAGUCUAUUAUGUAAGAGUGACAUUAAUUCAUUAUUAAUUUAGAUUCUAUUUAUUUUUCCAGUUCUUGCAUAUCAGCUGAUUCACACAUUUUCAGGGCUAAGCUUUGUUUCUUUCCUGCUCGGAGAAGCUCAGGAACGGCUCAGCAAGUUUUCUGAGACUGCAGAAAUGUGAAGAAUCAAUUUUAAUGAUUCCUGGGGGAUUCGUUCUCCUCUUCACACAAACAUUCCAGGCUAAUGUUGCUCUCGGCCUACAGAGGGGUCUGGAUGUCUGCUGGAGGAGUUUGAAAAGUAAGUUUGUAAUCAAAGACGCACAGAGGAGGCCCGCUUUCACGCUUGGCUCAGCAUUAACGGCUCAGAAGGACACGCAGGAGGGAUCAGCACACGUAGGGUGGGAGGCGCUGCAAGGAGCCGGGUACCAUUGUGGAACCCAGGACCUUCCAUUUGUUCCUGGUACAAAACGUUUUUUACGCCAUUACUGAUUUAUAAAGAGGCAUUAACAAUAUUUUAAGAGAAUUCACUUAUUUGCAAGUGUACAAUGCACUCAAAAAUGCCACUUGUAUACUUUUGGGAAACUUUGCUAAAAGCAACUGACUGAUGAGAUUUAAACAAGGCAUAUGUUUCUGGUUUGCAAUAACAAACCGCUCAAAGCAACUAUAUUUUCUAAAUAGAAUUUCAAACAUUUGAUCUAUAAGUUAAAGUAAUUUUGCAACACGAGGGGUACAGUCCAUGCAUCUUUCUGUACAUUUCUAAAUGAUGCUGCCUGGUCUCACAAAAAAUCCUAAUAAAAAUACCUAGUUUUGUGCCUGCAACAUGAUUAAGGUUCAGCCAUUUUCUGGGAGUUCUCUUUCAGAAAAGGUGAUCUGUGUUUAGUCACAUGAUCCAUCCAUGGCAAAGAAAAUAAACCAAAAAGAACUGCCUGACCUCAGUCUUCUCCUGACAUGGAGAAAAUAGCAGUGGCGCUCACAGCUCUCUGGAUUUGUCAUUUGCGGUUUACAUUUCUAUGUUUAACUUGCUGUAAAACAUGAACUCCUGAACCGAGCGCACAUGUGAAAGAGCUUCGUUUCCAGACAGCUGCAGUCACCGUGGCACUGCAGCUUCAAAGCACCACGAACGCGUCUUCGCUGUUUAUACCAACCAGUCACUUCCUGGCUUCCUCACAUGGGACUAAAAACAGCUUGAGCCUUUUGUCUUUCAGCAUCCUCCUAUGAGGGAUUAAUGCCACACAGCGGGAAUGGUGUCUGUAUGCCACCGUGCCUGUGCCAGUCCACAGAAUAAACACCACGCAGCUCAUGUGUCUGCAAAUAUCAAUAGCACCUACUAAUAAAAAAAAGAGCAUUUUCAAAAGCAGCCAUGAAAUAAGCCGCCUUUCUAUAAUUAACCUUUCCACAUUGCGGUCCUGCCGUGCUGCGUUCAGGUGCUCCCCUUCCUGGAGGGGUUUGUGUUGAAGGCCCCGUGACAGUGAUUCAGCCUCGGCUAGGAGACGCUACGCUGAGCUCUAAACGCCUUCUCAGAAGCCUGAGAACCAACUCUGAGCUGAGCACAAAGGCCACUUUGAUUUGUGAAGCAGAAUAAACAUCAUGCUCAUACAUGUUAUCAGAAUCUGCUGACUGGGUUUCUCUCUAAGUGGCCUGCGGGAAUCUCACACUGACGGAAGGGAAAAAUACGGCAAGGUUAUCAAAUGAGGCUUUAGAGCACAUAGUCUAGUGUCUGUAUUAAACCGGUUGGGGUGGGGGGAGUAGGAGGAAGCCCCUCAGUAAAUGGCUCUUUGGCUUUUAAUUGUUCACCUCUGUAAAAACAUGAAGCUAGAUUCUUUUAGCUGGGUGAAAAAUAACAGAGAUUAAAAAAGUGACAAGUUAAAAACCCAUUAGAUUAGAUUCAUUAUUUUUCCUAAUACUUAUAAAAGUAUUUCAUUCUCUUUAAAUAUAUUUUUCCAUGUGUUUUACGUCACUGCAAAAAAAAAAAAAAACAGUUUAUUGAAAAUAGCACAUUUGCAGUAACAGACAUCUUUCAAUGGGUACUAAAACAAUGUGAACAAUUUUAAUCAAACGCUUACAGUUACAGACCUGCUUUCUGAUAUCUUAAAGAUUGAUGUGAGACAUGGAGCUUUGAGUUCGGAAAGCCUCCUUCCCAUCAACAACGAUCUUUUAGCUCCUUUCAUAGAUUCUCUAGCAGAGACAAGUUGGGAUUUGACUGGGCCGCUCCAAAACUUCAGGAUUAUUUCCAGUCAGGACAAACACGUUGGUAAAAUUGCUUCUGACCUAAAUCUUCUGGUGAGAGGAAAAAUUCUGGGCUUAACUGUAACUGUGGAGUAGAAAGACAAUGAUUUUUCAACAUUUUUUAUAAAUUUAAAAGCCCCCUUUUUACUCAGGAGAAACCAAUAAAUAAAAUCCCUUGCCUUCGGAGGCUCCCUAAUUAGCAGACGAAUUACCAGAGAUCUCUUUUGAUUUUAUCUCAGUAUAAAUACAGCUGUUCAGUGAAGGCCUCAGAAUUUUGUCAGAGAAUGCAUGUGAACAAAGUUCAUCUGGUCAGAUGAGCCCAAAAUGAAGCUUUCUGGACUAUAAAUAAAACAAAGUGAGGAGGAAAACGAACACUUUACAUCAUUCUGAAAACCCUGUCCCAUGUUGAAACAUGGCUGUGGCAGCACCACACUGAGGGAAUUCUUUUUU